This 511-nucleotide ribosomal RNA is filed under the name uncultured bacterium. RNAcentral describes it as "partial 16S ribosomal RNA". It matches the Rfam family "Bacterial small subunit ribosomal RNA", at positions 28 to 523 of the family's 1533-position model. The record is from RNAcentral.
GAUGAACGCUGGCGGCGUGCUUAAUACAUGCAAGUCGAACGAAGCGCCUCUCCCGAAGAUAGACCCAGCUUGCUGGGGAUUGAUUCACCUGAGGUGACUGAGUGGCGGACGGGUGAGUAACGCGUGGGUAACCUGCCUUAUACAGGGGGAUAACAGGUGGAAACGACUGCUAAUACCGCAUAAGCGCACAGUACCGCAUGGUACAGUGUGAAAAACUCCGGUGGUAUAAGAUGGACCCGCGUCUGAUUAGCUAGUUGGUGAGGUAAGGGCUUACCAAGGCAACGAUCAGUAGCCGACUUGAGAGAGUAAUCGGCCACAUUGGGACUGAGACACGGCCCAAACUCCUACGGGAGGCAGCAGUAGGGAAUAUUGCACAAUGGGGGAAACCCUGAUGCAGCGACGCCGCGUGAAGGAUGAAGUAUUUCGGUAUGUAAACUUCUAUCAGCAAGGAAGAAAAUGACGGUACUUGACUAAGAAGCCCCGGCUAAAUACGUGCCAGCCGCCGCUGUAA